Molecule: long non-coding RNA, 1091 nt
Organism: Eucalyptus grandis
Lineage: Eukaryota; Viridiplantae; Streptophyta; Magnoliopsida; Myrtales; Myrtaceae
Exons: 3
Source: RefSeq, a predicted model, not a curated record
AUGUCUUGCCAUGACCAUAGCCGAUUUGAUGAAGGAACUACAUCAGAUACAUCUCUCUCUCCAAUUUCUCUGUCUGGGAAUUGUGGAACCCCUAGGGUACAUAUGACUGAGGAUUCUGCAUCUGCAGCCCAUUCAAUGACCAAAUCACUCAAGUCACAUCGAUUCUUUCUCUUCACCUACUCUAGACAAAUACAAAAGGAACAGCCUUGGAAAGUUGGCGACUUCAGUAUGAUAUUCUUCGUUUCAAAGACCAGGCAAACAUGUGUCACGUGCCAAUGAUGCUAGCACAAAGAAUGAAGCUUCUACUUUGGGCGGUUGGAGUCUGGGUGACGCCAAGGAAGACUUUGAAGUGGAUUAUUGUUACGAUGCCUUGACCAGAGAAAUAACCUAUGAGCAUGUGGGACAGCGAUUAUGCAUCCAUGUGUCAUUCAUAUAAAUUCUUUCUCUUCUCCUACUCUAAACAAAUAUAGAAGGAACAGCCUCGGAGUUGUUGGCAACUUCAGUAUGACAUUAUUCUUUUCCAAGACGGACCAAACAUGCAUCGCAUGCCAAUGCUGUUAGCACAAAGAAUGAAGCUUCUCCUUUGGGCAGUUGGAGUUAGGGCACCCCAGGCUGGACAUUAAAGUUGGUUUUUCUUACGACACUUUGGCUGGAGCUAUAGCCCAUGAGCAGAGUGGAUGGCGAUUAUGCAUGCAUGUGUGCAAUUUUGUUCAUCGGUGCACGUUCCAUCGUCUUCUUCACUACUUGUGCUGACGGCAAUGGGAGGGCACUCUGCAAGUGAGAGGAGCUGAUUGUGUACAGGACUGGGGGAAUGCUCGUGCAGCCAAGUUUUUCCAUUGAUAAUGAGAUCGCAGGGAUUAAGCAUUGCUUAAUUCUUUGAAAGUGACAAAAACAUGAUCACCCCUUCGCUCCCUGAUAAAGGCUCAAGUGUUUGCCUACUACAGUGUCAUUUUUGUUGUUAUCUUCCUCAAUUGUUGACACACACAGUAAACAAGCUGUAUGAUUCCAUAAAUUGUUCUUCCAGCUAUCAUAUCUUAUAACUAAAAUGGGUCACUCCAUCAUCCAUUGUAAUUCUUUUCAGUUGACGUAAU